This 207-nucleotide ribosomal RNA is filed under the name uncultured bacterium. RNAcentral's name for it is "partial 16S ribosomal RNA". It matches the Rfam family "Bacterial small subunit ribosomal RNA", at positions 568 to 774 of the family's 1533-position model. The record is from RNAcentral.
CUUGUAGGUGGUUUGUCGCGUUGUUCGUGAAAUGCCACAGCUUAACUGUGGGCGUGCGGGCGAUACGGGCAGACUGGAGUACUGCAGGGGAGACUGGAACUCCUGGUGUAGCGGUGGAAUGCGCAGAUAUCAGGAGGAACACCGGUGGCGAAGGCGGGUCUCUGGGCAGUAACUGACGCUGAGGAGCGAAAGCGUGGGGAGCGAACA